CGAGAUAUCACGUGGCUUACACGGAAGUGUUUUCUUCUCUUGGUAGGGUUUAUAUCCCAAAAUGUCCUAGUGAAUAUGAUCCCAGGCUCAAAAUGGAUCAUCCAUUUAUUCAUGAAGCACACGCGUUCGAUGUUCAAUUGGUCAGUGAAAGCUUUUUACAACCAAGAACACAGUUUACCGGAAGCAAAUCUAGAACAUCAGGAAAAAUUGCACCAGAAAAUCACCCCCGAUAACUGAUCAGUCCAGAACGCAACGCCUCUAACCACACAUAGCACGAGCCCUGCUACGCGCAGGUGCUUAGACGGAGCGCUUGUUGGCCGGCUGCCAGUCGCGGGCGCUCUUGGGGCGCUGCACCAGGAAGCCCAUGAUCUGCACCUGCUUCACGUUGUCGAAGGCCACCAGGCGCACGUAGGCGUCCGGGAAGGCCUUGGUGCAGGCAACAAUCUCGCGCAGCACCUGCAUCGGGUCGCGGCAGCCGAACAUGGGCAGCUUCCACAUCGUCCAGUAGCGGUUGUCGUAGUACAGCUGCGGGGGAGGGGGAGAUGGCAGAGGGAAAAGAAUGACAGGAUUAUGUCAGUUGAACUAGGAAGGAAGACAACAAGGGCAGAGCGACCCAAAACCACUGCUGAGCACAAAUGUCUCGUAACCCUCAACUUACGCAGGAGACUGGGCCGAAGCGGACGGUCGACUCGUUCGAGACGUAGGCCUUGUCAGCCUCAGCGAACUCAAGGCAAGGAAUCCAGCCUACAGUUGGUAAUUUUGGAAAGCACGUCUGUAAUUAGGUGAUGGCGAAUCCACAUAGCGCACAAUUGAUGAGCAUAAGCGAGACGCACCGUUGGCGACGAUGUAGUCAACCUGGGCAGCAAUCUGCUCGUCUGUCAGAGGCGGAAGGUAGGAGAAGGUCUCGAACAUCCUGAAAUUGUAAGCAUUGAUAUCAUCAUCCAGGAGGACAGAAGAAUUUUCCUUGCGGAAGGGUCGAGGCCAACAUGUUGAACCACGGCGCUGCUCACUUGUUGUUCACCGGGGUCCAGACCAUCAUCUUGUUAGCCUGGGCUGGAGCAGCAACCGGGGCAGCCUUAACAGCCGGCUUCAGACCGGCAACUGGGCGCACGCUGCUGCGGGCGGGGCGCGCAACAACGGCGGCCACAGACGACUUAGCAACAAUAGCGGCCAUCUCUUCUCUGCUUGAACAGAAAGGUCUCAGAUCUUCAAAGAGUUGCGAACUGAAAUUGCUUCCUGUUACUUUGUCAUGAAUCAGCGACGCCUUCUUGUAUGGUGCGGAUAACUGUACGAUGAUAAAAUGUACGGCUACCUUCAAGCUUAGCCACAGCCUUCUCAGGAACCAAGAGUAUUUGCCUAUAAGGAUAAGGGUUCAUGGACGUGUUGACUUUGAAUGUUAACUCGCUGCUCUGACGCGCAGAUUUGAUAUGCUUGCAAGCCGGCAUCCUUUCCUUAUCAAACCCUAGCUAUGUGGAUAUGUGUAAAUCAAUGCCGACUACACAACUGCAUUGCUUAACUUAAUGUAAGGACACAAAUUGAUGUCCCCAGCCCGGGUAGUAGGUUUCGUCGCAACUGUAUGUCAGUUAUGGCAUUCCUGUAGGCAGCGAGGCUUUAAGGGUCAAGUAUUUGAGGUAAUAUUGUUUAAAAGUAAAUGUCUUGGGAAUCAUCUCGUGCCAUCGAGUGAGUCUACCGCACAGGGAGGGAUACCCAUAUAGUGUUGCACUUGCUUCGCAAUGCAUUCAUUCCCAAGAGAAAGAAGUCUUACGGCAUGCGCCACAAAUUUACACCUUCAGAAACAUGCAAUAACACGUUGUGCUUAUUUGUCUCGAGCAGCACAGCAUGGAGCCCAGAAACCUAAGCGCAUGGUUUCUUGAAACCCCGCAUGCUACAUCAUGUUAAGCUAUUCUCGCAUGUUCGGAACACCUUGUAUAGCUAUUCAACCAGUAUGCUUAGUCCUUAGCUGGUGAUGUCAUGCACGGGAAAAGUCCCUCUGGAGAAAGGGUUUGUCACCCGGGCCAUGCAUUGCGCCCACUCCGACACGCCCUCUGAUCUCUUUCCCUCCGGCGAUCGGUGAAAAACGGGUUUAUAAAACAUAUAACCAUUAUAACGGUACGGUACGGGAGCGCAGGGAACCCCAGGUCAGCACCACCGCUGCACAUGUUGGAAGCAACCGGGAGUGCAAGUGGCGAAGUAUAAGCACUGGAUGGGGCUGCCCUUUUCGGGAGCCGCAGCCGUUAUGUGGCCAACACAUGCUAAGGUUUUCACUCCUCGUUUAGCACAUCGUAAGCUAAUGCAGUUUCGUUUAUGUUGCUGGGCUUUGGAGGCAAACAGAGCACGAAGGGGCAAGUACCAUGUCCCCAGGGGGCAGCGGUUUUGCCACUGUUGUGGUACUAAUAGCCGAAUUGAGGAUGAAAAACACGUGUUAUUGGAAUGCCCAGCCUAUAAGGAUAUUCGUGCUGAAGAGGGAUUCGAUCAUCACCAGAGCAUGUUGGAGGCCAUGCAAUGGGAACCCGCACGUCUGGCGAAGAUGUUGGAACGUACGUGGGCUCACCGAAACUCAAUUACCCCCUUUGGACGCUAGUCUGGGCUGAUGUGCGGUGUUUUCCUUUCCUCCGUGGCUUUUAGGCGUUGUAGUAUUGCCCUUGGGCCUUCGGCUCGUAUGGGUAGUCCUACAGGUACGGGGUCACGCACCCCCAACCAUGUAACACACACACAUGUUUAGUGCCUCUCUGUGCCUCCAUUUCCUGUUUCUUUUGCCCUGCCUAGGGCCGGCCUUGAAUGUCUCUGCGGGCUGAAGUCCCGGCAAAUCCAUAAGCCGCAGAUAUUGAGCAAGCAAGUCCGGGCUACAGCGAGCAGCUGUACCAUUUCGCUGAAAAGGGUGCAAGGCCCCCCAGGUCCUCCAAGCCACACGUCCGUAGGCCGUGUUGCAUUCAAGGAGAUGGCUCGACAUGGCUCCGUCGUACCUGCCCAAUGGUGCAGGAGUGACAUUUGAACGUGUAGAUGGGUACGCGCUGAAUGUCUUCUUUGUCAUUGGUAUCCAAGGGGUCCUUUCCAGGGGAUUUGCAGCUGGAACCCUACCUGUCUUGGGGUUGGGGCGCCGGUCGCUCCUGUUAUCAGCAGGGCCUACACUCUGUGGUGAGAUGGCAGCCGAGGCGACUGAAGGCGAGUUCCAUGGUCAGACCUGAGCACCAUCAUUGGCUAUCUAUCCAUCAUUGGCUAUCCAUCAUUGGCUAUCUAUCUAUCAUUGGCUAUCCAUCUGGCUAUCUAUCUAUCUGGCCCAGAUGAGCUAUAGGGAGUUAGCCCCGAUAACAGUGUUCGGACUAUCGUGUCUAUUCGGACUACCGUGUCAGCCAAGGCAGAGGAAGCCAGGAAGUCUUGCAAGGAAAUGGAUGGACAUAGGAUGACACCUGUCAUCCGUGACUACCGGUUGCGCAUUGAGUAGAUGGUAGCGAUGUCAUGUGUCUUUUCUCUCCGCAUCUCUUUUGCGUGCGAUUUCUGUCGUUAUCCUCGUGUAAAGGCUUCGCUGUUUAUGAUGGACAAAAUCUAACCUUGAUUCGCCAUUACUAACACACUAAUUCGCGAAAACAUUUCUUGAUCUGCGAGCAAAAGCUGACUUGCCUUCGCUGCCUGCCCACCUACCUUGCUGUAGUUUUAUGGGGCGUAUUUGCGCGUCCGUGCCUUUGGGUCACAUGUGCUCUCCCUUCAAACUGCUUGCAACUUGCGGAAUGAUUCAAUCAGAUGAAACGUGGCAGAUACUGGUAAGCUUAAAGUGCAUAGGGUUGUCCAGGAGCAGGCCUGCGAACCCCCUGACGUCCCCGUGUCACAUGAUCUGCACCUGGGGGAGAUUAGCACCGCACGAUGCGCUUAGUCUGUUCAAAAACAAGCUGGACGCCGAACUACAUCACCCAUCACAGGCACAACUGCUCAGCAGCACUCCUUGAUGCAACAGCCUGGAAAAAUUGCACCUCGAACCCACUGCCGACAUGCCGACCAUCCACGCACAUCCACACUCCGAGGCGAUUAGCAACACGCGCAGCUGCUUAGACGGAGCGCUUGUUGGCCGGCUGCCAGUCGCGGGCGCUCUUGGGGCGCUGCACCAGGAAGCCCAUGAUCUGCACCUGCUUCACGUUGUCGAAGGCCACCAGGCGCACGUAGGCGUCCGGGAAGGCCUUGGUGCAGGCAACGAUCUCGCGCAGCACCUGCAUCGGGUCGCGGCAGCCGAACAUGGGCAGCUUCCACAUCGUCCAGUAGCGGUUGUCGUAGUACAGCUGCGGGGGAGGGAGGCAGAAGCAUGAGGAAGUCCAGCUUAGCAUUAAUACUGGAGGGCGGCCCAACCUCCUGUGCCUACAGAAGUGCAUGACAUUACAGGUGAACCACAGAAACGAAUGACUACGUUGCAAUGGCAUGUCUUACUGUUUCUAAACCCCAACUUACGCAAGACACCGGACCGAAGCGGACGGUCGACUCGUUCGACACGUAGGCCUUGUCAGCCUCAGCGAACUCCAAGCAAGGAAUCCAGCCUAAAAGAAGGGAGAUGCCAGCCAGAUAUCCGUCAAGUACUGUACCUUAAUGUGCAGUUCAUAUCCUCCGUACAUGCGCGUGUGUUGCGCACGUGCGGCAACUUAUAUGUGAUGGCAAUAACCCACAACGACGGCGUUGUGGUAAAGCAGCUGGGUCCCGAUCCUACCGUUGGCAACGAUGUAGUCGACCUGAGCAGCAAUCUGCUCAUCGCUCAGGGGCGGCAGAUAGGAGAAGGUCUCGAACAUCCUGCAUAGUUACAAAUAAUUGAAGACGGAAGAGUCUGCAUGCUUUUCUCUCGUUGCAGAGGCAGGAAUUCAUCAUGCAAGAACAAGGCGUAUCAAGCAUCAUGUCCAACGACUCACUUGUUGUUCACCGGGGUCCAGACCAUCAUCUUGUUGGCCUGAGUCGGGGUUGCCACAGGCGUAGCCCUGACAGAUGGCUUCAGAACGGCGACCGGGCGUACGCCGCUGCGUGCGGGACGCGCCACUGCCGUGGCCACCGACGACUUAGCAAUGACUGCGGCCAUUUCUCCUGUCUAUUUGAGAAGUAAGCAACCUUGUCAGACGGAUAAGGAUGGCUCUUCUGCCCAUUAGGUUGCUUCGGUUCUCUUUGUACUGGGAUGAUUGCUGUACUUUUGAUAGAAUGUACGGCGAGCCAACCCGAGCCACGGGUCUCAGGAGGGCCCUGAACAUACGUCAUUAAAUGGCGUAUUGAGGGAUGAAAUGAAUGGUGUCGUUUGUGGAAGACAUUAUUUUAUGGGGCCAAUAAUUGCGGACACAAUGGUUUGUCAGUUUAGCUACCUUAAUGUAUUAGAUAUCAGGUAGAGGUUGAGGCUCCAUGCCUUCUAUGCCACUGCGGCAAGCUGCCCAACGCUUGGGAACAACGUCCGGGGCAUAUAGUUAUGCUCUUUAGGCAAUGGAUUUCCAAUGCGAUAUUGGGCAUGCGGUUGCGGCCGCUACGAUUGAAGAUUAGAUGUGGGAACAUAGCCUGGGAAGGAGCGAGUUCUUUGGAAUGGCUUAACCCCUGACAGGAUACUGAGCCCUCCAUGUAACACCCAUGCUUAGAUGCUCGCUUAAACAUGGCAUCCAUGGGCAUACCAAUGAAUUUUGCAACUGCAACUGCGAAUGUUUGCUGGAUUGUUGCGGUAUAGUUGGCCUAUCAGUUGCAGCCUGCCAUACCCCAACUUCCAACCCUUGUUGAUCGCCGACUCAGACAGCAAGCUACCUUGUUCCCUGGAUAGGCUGCUACGGAUCACACUGUGCUCCGGCAGUUCUUUCGUUGGCUUAAAUAAUAUGAGUUCCACAGUUUUAAGGCUUGUCAUGUCACUAUUGCGAGCGUUGGAAAGUCAUCCCCUUAGCCUUCUUGUGUGUACUUUCGGCUUGCGCCAUGUCUUGGAAUCGCAGAAGGUGGGCACUCAUUGUGGGCAGCAGUGUCGGCUGCUCCUCCGGCUAACGGCGCUGUGCAUGCAAUACCUUCUUAACGGCUCCUUGUUUUCUUCCUUGGCAGCUUUCGAGCUAAUCGUUACAUUCAUUAGGUUGUGCGGCUAUAGCCGCAAAGUAAAAGUAUCGUCAAUAAUUUUCUUCUCUGGAUUGUCAAAAACCCGGAUAACACGCGUCAGGACCAUCACUUCAGGCAACCGUAGCGUUAAAUGAGUUAUUCAUGGCGCUUGAAGUUUGUGACAGCUCGGUUGCACCACCCAUCACAAGCGCAGCUGCUCAGCGAGCACCUUCGACGCAACAGCCAGGAAAAAUUGCGCCAGUUGCCUGCCCACGAUCAACUUAAGCCAACUCUGUACACACAUUCAUGCCCAGAACAACACGCGCAGGUGCUUAGACGGAGCGCUUGUUGGCCGGCUGCCAGUCGCGGGCGCUCUUGGGGCGCUGCACCAGGAAGCCCAUGAUCUGCACCUGCUUCACGUUGUCGAAGGCCACCAGGCGCACGUAGGCGUCCGGGAAGGCCUUGGUGCAGGCAACAAUCUCGCGCAGCACCUGCAUCGGGUCGCGGCAGCCGAACAUGGGCAGCUUCCACAUCGUCCAGUAGCGGUUGUCGUAGUACAGCUGCGGGGGAGGGGGAGAUGGCAGAGGGAAAAGAACGACAGGAUUGUCAGUUUGGUCAGCAAGUAAGACAUUUCAGUCAAAAACAGAGCGACCCAAAAACAUUGCUGGGCACAAACGUCUCGUAACCCUUAACUUACGCAGGAGACUGGGCCGAAGCGAACGGUCGACUCGUUCGACACGUAGGCCUUGUCGGCCUCAGCGAACUCAAGGCAAGGAAUCCAGCCUGGGAAAUGGGGAAAUGUUAUAGUAAAAAUCUUUCGGAGACGAUGACGUUGUACGAGAACAAUUUACGCUUGCAUAGCAUCCAACCCCAUCCUGAGAUAGCAUUGGAACGAGAGAAAAAGCGGGUCAAGAUCAUACCAUUAGCAACGAUGUAGUCGACCUGAGCAGCGAUCUGCUCGUCGGUCAGAGGGGGCAGGUAGGAAAAGGUCUCGAACAUCCUGCAAUGCAAAUCCAAUCACUCAAAAUUAUAAAGGUUAGGUAGAUUAUUGAACAACUCAAAGGAUUCACAAAAUAUCAAAUCACAGCCAUAAGCAACAAUGUACAGCGACUCACUUGUUGUUCACCGGCGUCCAGACCAUCAUCUUGUUGGCCUGGGCCGGAGAAGCCACAGGAGCUGCCUUAAUAGCCGGCUUGAGGACGGCGACCGGGCGCACGCUGCUGCGAGCUGGGCGCACCACAGCGGUGGCCACAGAUGACUUAGCAACAAUAGCGGCCAUUUUCCUCCUUAGUGAGAAGUAUGCGAUGACUGAGCUGGUGAGAAUGAGACUACUUCUGUCAACUUCAGUGCCGUUGCUGCCUUUUGUACCAAGGGGGCUACACCUGUACCACGAUAAACUGUACGACAAAAGGGAACGGUAGCCAGGAGUUCCAAAGAGGGUUAAAUGAAUGUUAUAUAAGCUAGUAAGUAUUAAAUUUCUGUGCAAAGGAUAGAUGCCCAAGUCUUGGAUGAGGCGAACUCGGCCGCAUGUACGAUAUGGCUGACACAUGUGUCAGCUGAAUUCUGAGCGUUUGAAAGGUUCUAACGCCAGAAUUUUACACAAGGAAUGUUAUGCGAUGCAAAAUUCGAAAGGAUGGCUUGGGCUCCGGGGUGAAAUAUUAAACCUGAGGGCUUAGGUAGCCGUUUCCCAGGUUUGUUCCAUCUUGCAGUCUCAUGGUGCACCGCGCUGUCAAAAGGUAUUAAGGGUAGUUCCGCCCGCAUCGAAAAUUUCGAAAUCGAGAUAUCAACAUUGUGUUUCCAUCUUGCCUUGUAAGCCCCCUGCCGUGGGGCCUCGAAGACGCAGGUCCCGAAAGGAUAUUAUGCCUUCAGAGGUUUGGGGGACGUUUAAAAUGAUUCUGGGUCGCUGGUUAAUAGUACCGGCCCCUCCGCAUGGCAGACGCCUUGACGAACGGCAUGAGAGGACUUCCAACAUAUUACGCGUCUGUGAUAUGCCGUGCCAAAAUCCUUGCCGCAACGCCAAUCAAUACCCUUCCAGGCCACGCGUGGACCUUUAGUGGCCUUCGACAGGGGGUUAUGACCUAGAACUGCAAUAAUACGUGGCUCUAGGCAACUUGGUUUGGUGGUUUGGUUUGGUGGCUUUAGCGCUGGGGUAGAGGCGAGGCCGAGGGAGCUAGUUGCGUACGAGUGCCCACCGGAGAUCGGGUGCCAGCCACGAUUUCUAACGGCUACCUUGCCUCGACAUUGGCUGCGAGCGAUCCUUAUGUGGUUCUCAAUCUCGCAGAUAAAUCUUUUUAGUUUAGCGGGACAGGGCAGGUCACAGGAUGACGAUGGGAGCUAAGUGAAUGGCUUGUCGCUCCGGCGACCACCACCCUGAGGACGGCUUCCUGCCGGUCGUUCCCGUUCGUUGAGCAGUGCGUCGCGGCCUCCCCCUGCGAACUGGACUAGGCCACAGUGAUACAUUAAGGUUGGGAUUCCUGUAGAUCCGUUUCUAGCUUGUUGCCCAGAUCCAGAAGGCGCUAAUAGGACAGCGUCAACCUGCUGUAAAAAUCGCUUAAAGCUUAAGUUGAUACCAUACAACACCAACCAGGGACACCAACGCAUAGCCAUUAACGUAGGAAAGUGAGGCAAAGCUGAAAGCAUUACAGCGGCUUCCCGGGAACGUACACUUGCCGAGCCUUGCCUACAUCGGGUCUCGCCUUGUGAGCAGCUAAGCUUAUACCACGCCAUUCGCGGUUCAUUGCCUGGGUCGCUUACUCUCCGUAGCCUGCUGGUAGGGGGAUAAGCAGAGUUAUGUGGCUUGCAAAGCUGCGCUGGACGAACUUGCUCCUGCGGGACAUUCCUGCCGCGUGGCUAGAAGCAGCACGACUGGCUAACCCCUUGACACAAGGUGUGCGACUGCAGCUGCCGCUCGAGGACAACGAUACUGAGCUUCGAAUCACUUAGUUGGUGUGGAAGCUUCCCAACAAUAGCAAGGUGGCGCUGAGGAAAUGGUGGCGUACGGAUGUGCACAUGUACGGACGCGACGGCUGAGGUGGACUGUCUGUCUGUGAAACAGGGGGGUAUAUCUUCACCAGUGGCAGCUACCCUGCGAAACCCUGCCUUCCCCGGUAUUUCGGGACAUCCUCAUCCAGUCACCCUAGUCAACUUCUCAGUGGAUCGCUCAGGUUCCGCACCCACCACCAGCAUCCAACGGAAUCAGCCGGGCCGUCAGCAGCCCAACUCCAUUCCUGGUCGGCGCGCAGGUUAACUCUAUCCCAGAUCACCACCGUCCAACAACUAGGGGCGCAAUACAUUCUACCAGCGGACGGAUUUAUGACCCUGAAAGAACUCGAUCCCGGAAUCUCCCGGGGGCAAUGGUCGCGCGUUACCAGUAGAGCCUAACCUAUGAAUGGAAUGUCUGUAUGUCGCAGAUUCCUGGGGGUUGGGAGCAGAUGUGGAGGAGGUGCAGCUCGACGCCAUGCUGUAAGGGCAUGACAAAUCAAUGGUCGUCAACACUGAGCGCCUGAACGGCUUCCAGUUGACAGUUUUCCCGUCAGAUCCUUAACACAUGAACGGUGUGACCAUUCCCACAGGGGGAACGCUGGUAGGUGGCAUAGAUGAGUUUAUCUUAGCCCCAAAUCGCGGCCGUGCCUAAUGGCCUAGAGAAUCCAAUUAUACUUGCUGGAUGGGAGACAGAUGGGAAACACUCGUUGCUAAUUGCUAUCCAAGCCGCGCUAAGGGAUCUUGGUACCUUAUUGGCUUUGGCACCUCUCUGCACCUCCUAUGCAGCUUUUGUGGGCGGGCAGCGCGGGUAAUUCUGCCGGAUCCAUCCCAACUUGAUUCAUUACAUGUAUUUACGAGCACAAAAGUCGAGUAUUAAUCAAUAGUCAAUAUUCACUAAAUUCUUCCAAUGAGCUGACCUUCAUGUAAACCGAACGGCCAGCACCGCCCUUCCUGCUAUCUGCUCCGAGAGGGCAAAACAUACAUAAGAACUGCGCUGACCAUACGAAACUGUCGAGCGACAUCCAAAAUACCAAGGUAAGCCAUCUAUGUCGCCAUCUAAUCGGGUCGAGGCAUUUAAUCUUCUCUGAACAUCAUUAAGAGAAGAUGUAUCUCCUAACAGGCAGCCCGAAGCAUAUGUCAUUAUUAGCGGAUGGAAUUUUUCCUAAUGAAUGGUUCACUACGAACAGCUGCUGAGCCAGCAUCCCUUGAUGCAACAGCAGGGAAAAAUUGCACAGGACAUGCUGGCAUAAAACCAUGCGAGCGCAUCCACACUCCCGAGGCGAUUAGCAACACGCGCAGCUGCUUAGACGGAGCGCUUGUUGGCCGGCUGCCAGUCGCGGGCGCUCUUGGGGCGCUGCACCAGGAAGCCCAUGAUCUGCACCUGCUUCACGUUGUCGAAGGCCACCAGGCGCACGUAGGCGUCCGGGAAGGCCUUGGUGCAGGCAACGAUCUCGCGCAGCACCUGCAUCGGGUCGCGGCAGCCGAACAUGGGCAGCUUCCACAUCGUCCAGUAGCGGUUGUCGUAGUACAGCUGCGGGGGAGGGAGGGACGGAAGCAGAAAAAAAGUAUGUUUAGCGACGGCGCAAGAAAAAGUGGUCAAGUCCCGAUAGGCUAUGGAAUACCUAACAGCGGAGUUGAAAUGAUGACCAUCCCUUUCGCCGUAUACCCCAACUUACGCAGGAGACUGGGCCGAAGCGGACGGUCGACUCGUUCGACACGUAGGCCUUGUCGGCCUCAGCGAACUCAAGGCAAGGAAUCCAGCCUGAUACAAAAGGGGGACAUCCGAGAGUGUACAAACUUGCAAACCAUUGCCCAUACAACCCAAGCUGAAGCCCAAACUCCGAUUGGAAGGCAACAUUGACCCUUAGGAAUGUUGCCUUACCAUUAGCAACGAUGUAGUCAACCUGAGCAGCGAUCUGCUCGUCAGUCAGAGGGGGCAGGUAGGAAAAGGUCUCGAACAUCCUGAAAGAGAAAACAAGUUGUGAACAUAAAACGUGUAAGCAAGCGGAAAGAAAAGCGUUUGGCAGUACAAAUAUAAGACAAAACAAAAGAAAUCGCAAGACAAGUACCGACGUGAUUAGGCAAAUACCGACGUGCCGUUCAUGAAAGACAUUCCUAAUCUCGCUUCAGGGAUACAGAAUCAAGGUAAUUUAGUAGAUUGUGCAGUAGAAAAGGUGCAGCUACUCACUUGUUGUUCACCGGGGUCCAGACCAUCAUCUUGUUAGCCUGGGCCGGAGCAGUGACCGGGGCAGCCUUGACAGCCGGCUUCAGAGCUGCAACAGAACGCUGAACGCUGUUGCGGGAUGGGCGCGCCACUGCGCUGGCCACAGAUGAUUUAGCAACAAUAGCGGCCAUUUUGGGAUAUGAUUUAAAUGUUUAAGAAUCACUAAUAUAUUAAUUGUAUGCUUAAUUGUGAUCACAGCUGAUUGCUUUUGUAUUGUGAUGAUCUGUACCACGAUAAAACGUACGGCAGCGUUGAAGCCUUGGCACGGACUUCCCUGGGGCUAAUGUUUUAAUCUUGGAGAGCAUAUUCUGAUAACCUUUGCAUUUCAUCAGGUCUAGGGCUUCAGUCGGAGAAAGCUCGGUCCUUAAGGUUCUCAGCCUUGGUCAUAAGGAUAAGGUUUUCGAUGCCGUUUGCUAGUGCAUAAGGUACAACUACCAUUAAGAAUCAAGUAAUUUGCUCAUUGCGGCAGAAAACGUGGUGUUGCACUAUAUAGCCUGUCAAUGGCUUACGAAGGGCGAAGUGCCGUCAGACCUUUAUGGCCAUUCUGAGUGGCCAGCCCAUACUUGCAAACAAUGAGAAUGUCCAUACUUGAUUCGGAAAGUAACAAUUUCUGGCAGUUAGUGGUCAAAGCCUCGCCCGUGGAGCUCAAUUUGAGGAUAGACAUUGUGUUGUGUUUUCAAUUUCAAGUGUUCAUGGAUUCCAUUACAAACUAUUUUGGGACAGUUAAGAGUCACCAUGAGGGCAGAUCGCUGCAACCGCUUCUUUCGUCCGAAUGGAUGAGCCUUUAAGUUCUAUACAAAGGCCGUGCAAGGGUCAAUAUCCAUACCUGUGCUGAACGAAGCGACGCCUCAGUACUGGGCACCGCAGGCGGCCAUUGCUCAGAAUGCUCUGGAUCAAGAGUUUUAGGCAUCGUCUUCUGGCCCAGCAGCGGUUGUGAUUUUCGUAUUACUGCUGCGGCAAUGGGGAGCUGUUUCACUGCAAUUGGGCUUGGUCUAGAACACGUACAAACACGGAUUUAUAGGGUCGCAUAAGACUGCAACGUCGUCCAACGACGUGGUUUUGUUGCAGCGUUUACAACACCAACGUUUGCGCGAGAGAUGUGUGUAGGAAAACAUGUGUGUGUGUGUUUUUGUGUGUGUGUUUUUGUGUGUGUGUUAGUAUAGUGGGCUGUCGUAUUUCCCUCAAGAUGUUUCACUUAAGCCCAAUCUCAAGUUCAUCUGCAGCGCUAAGUUUCCAUCUUCCCUCAUUAAUCGAGUAACGUUACAGUUUAUCCCAUCACCUCGAACCAUGGCCGCAGAAAUAGGAGGGGCGCGUACCUAAUAGUAUUAGCGCGUUAGGAAAACCCGCACUUAUCACAAUUAAGUCAUGCCAGGAUGGGUUGUUAGCAUGCGUCCUCAUAACGCGCCCCGCCUACGCCUCCUACGUGUCUAAUCGUCACCCACACAUUCAAACCACUAAUCCCCCAAGCCGUCUAUUCGGUCAGUCAUCGUCAAUAUUUCUUCACUGAGCAUGGCUACUAUACCUAGUAGAAACUUCAAGGCAUCAUCCCACGACUGGAAAACCGCCGGAUCCCACGUUUAUUGCUGGCGUACACACACACUCAUGAAUGGCUAGUUAUCGGUAAAAAUUAGAAUGCAUCAACUCUGCACGCAACCUACAAUCAACCAACUGAAAAAACAUUUGCACCAGAAACCUGCUUCCUGUACGUGUACGAUAAACCGACCAAUUCUUCCGAUAUGCCGGCCAUGCGUGCGCAUCCACACUCCCGAGGCGAUUAGCAACACGCGCAGCUGCUUAGACGGAGCGCUUGUUGGCCGGCUGCCAGUCGCGGGCGCUCUUGGGGCGCUGCACCAGGAAGCCCAUGAUCUGCACCUGCUUCACGUUGUCGAAGGCCACCAGGCGCACGUAGGCGUCCGGGAAGGCCUUGGUGCAGGCAACGAUCUCGCGCAGCACCUGCAUCGGGUCGCGGCAGCCGAACAUGGGCAGCUUCCACAUCGUCCAGUAGCGGUUGUCGUAGUACAGCUGCGGGGGAGGGAGGGACGGAAGCAGAAAAAAAGUAUGUUUAGCGACGGCGCAAAAAAAAGUGGUCAAGUCCCGAUAGGCUAUGGAAUACCUAACAGCGGAGUUGAAAUGAUGACCAUCCCUUUCGCCAUAUCCCCCAACUUACGCAGGAGACCGGGCCGAAGCGAACGGUCGACUCGUUCGACACGUAGGCCUUGUCGGCCUCAGCGAACUCCAGGCAAGGGAUCCAGCCUGGAGGGCGUUUACAGGCAGCGAACCACCUUAGCCACCGUGCCGUGAGAAAGCGAAUACCAUGCGGGUUACGAAACCCACGACCACUUUGAAAGAAACACGGAUUCUUGGUAUUGUAGCAAGGGAGAUGGAGCAGAUCCGUAUGGUACAUACUUGCCCUAAGUACGUGGGACAGAGCCUUACCAUUAGCAACAAUGUAGUCAACCUGAGCAGCGAUCUGCUCGUCAGUCAGAGGCGGCAGGUAGGAAAAGGUCUCGAACAUCCUGCAAGGUACAAAUGCCUUAGGCCCUUAUAAUUCCGCUAUAUGAUAUAAGGAUAGAAGGGCUCAGCGAAUAGUCAAUGAGGGCGAAGUAGUAACAGAGGGCAGCAGCUAGUUUUUCGCGCAGCAGCUCACUUGUUGUUCACCGGAGUCCAGACCAUCAUCUUGUUGGCCUGAGCCGGAGCAGUGACCGUGGCAGCCUUGACAGCCGGCUUCAGCACGGCGCAUGGGCGCACGCUGCUGCGAGCAGGGCGCACCACAGCGGUGGCCACAGACGACUUCAUCACCAUAGCGGCCAUCGUAGAUAAUUCUUUGGGGAAAACACAACAAAUCUAUGAUGAAUGCAGGCCCACACUGAUUAUUGAACUGCGCUGCGCUUUUUGUAUUGGGACGACCAUGAUUAUAGAUUGUACGGUUAAAGUUCGUCGUACAUUUUAUCCUGGUACAGGUAGACCUGUGGCCAGGCUUUAAUAAUGCUUGGAGGGCAUUGGUGCAUUUCCAUCUUGGAAAAUACCCUAAGUAAUCUUCUUUGUUUUUUGCUUGAUUAGGGAAUCAAGCAGUAGGUGAAACUUGGUUCCGUGUAUGACGAGGCUGACUAAUGCUUGUUGUUGGGAGGGCUUAAGUAGUAAAUCCGUGUAGUAAGUCGGGUUACAAGGUGUUGAUCAAGAUUUUGGCCUAACGCAGACACUUGCAUAUCCUUGGAGGAAGUUACGGCUUGAUGCAGGAGUUCCGCAGUUUCGGCCCAUAGACACUUUAUCGUUCGCAUAUGUAACAUAGGCGGACAAUGGUCUUUCAAGGCUAAACAGAUUUCGGUGUAGAUUGGUUGCGGUUGAUUCACUUUGACGCUCAGUCCAGGAGAUGUAAGGUUCAGGAUCAGAUUUAUUUCGAAUCUGUUCAAACUUAGCAGCAAUAAGUUUGAUCUGUAUGAAAAUCUCAAAAUCAGCGUGUCGACGAUUGUGUCGGAAAUUCGAUCGCCUUAAAUCAAAGGUCUUGGACUUUAUAUCGCAGAAGAUACUCGUCAUCACACAUUUGAUUGGACGCGUUUAGAUUUUAUUACUAGCUAACAUAUCCGGCGUAUGUUGUUGUAAUUGGUUUAUUCUUCCCUAAUUCCAAAACCCAUACUAGUUCAGAGAGAACACUCCACGUUCAGACCCACAUUCAGAUCCCAUACUGCUUCACCGAUUUCCGUUUUCAUCGUUUGGUAACGAUGAGCCCUGUUCUAUGCUUAUUGAGUUUCAUUUAUUGUAACAAUGCAUUCGAAGAAAGUAACUGGUCUAGGGAUCUCUGUUAAGCAUCGGAACACGUAUCCUACCCGGAAGCAAGGAUGUCCCACAGUCCGGAAGGCAAUCCAAAUUCGUGUGCGCUUACACAUGAAAGGGUUUUCUGCUCAGGAUUGAAUUGAACGCGAGCGCGCUCGCUGUUCAUAUGCAUCAUUAGUGGGAUGCAAAUUAUUGUGAAGCACACACGGAUCAAUGACCACGACCGAAACAAACAACUGAAAAACAAACAUAUGUACAACCACAGACAAAAACAUUCCCAAAAACGAGAGUAGUCCACUAGAGAACUGCGAACAAAAUUAAAAAAUGUGUCCAGAGCUCAUAAGCAAACUCCCAACUCAAAGAAUGUUCUACUGAUCUGGGUUCGUCCAUUCCGCCAAAAGCGUUGAACGCUUAGACGGAGCGCUUGUUAGCCGGCUGCCAGUCGCGGGCGCUCUUGGGGCGCUGCACCAGGAAGCCCAUGAUCUGCACCUGCUUCACGUUGUCGAAGGCCACCAGGCGCACGUAGGCGUCCGGGAAGGCCUUGGUGCAGGCAACGAUCUCGCGCAGCACCUGCAUCGGGUCGCGGCAGCCGAACAUGGGCAGCUUCCACAUCGUCCAGUAGCGGUUGUCGUAGUACAGCUGCGGGGGAGGGAGGAAUGGGGCAGGCGACAGGAGGGGAUAUUUAUGUGUACAUGAUUGCUACACAUGAAGACUUAUUACAUGGUCCUCUCGUAGAAUACGAUGAGUAAUACAGUUGAGUUGAUUACUUCAUAAUGGCGGAACAUCCAGCUAACAUCAACGAGGUUGAGGGUCAACUUACGCAGGAGACUGGGCCGAAGCGGACGGUCGACUCGUUCGAGACGUAGGCCUUGUCGGCCUCAGCGAACUCAAGGCAAGGAAUCCAGCCUGACAACAGGAAUAGAAGGCGAGUCAACCAAUAAUAUACCCAAAUGAGAGAAAAGGCACUUUAAAUUAUGCAAUUAAAGCUGCUUUGUUUAAUAUGGGAACACUAUUCGAGAAUGGCCUGGACAUUCCUCACCGUUCGCGACAAUGUAGUCGACCUGGGCAGCAAUCUGCUCGUCGGUCAAGGGCGGCAGGUAAGAGAAGGUCUCGAACAUCCUGGAACAUGAAAGGGACGCCAUCAGAACGCAACCUUACAUUUACUGUGCGAUGACCUCACAAACGCAAGUAUAUUCAUUUGCAAGGUGCAGCAAUAUCGCUAACUCGAGCACGAACUCACUUGUUGUUCACCGGAGUCCAGACCAUCAUCUUGUUGGCCUGAGCCGGAGCAGCGACCGUGGCAGCCUUGACAGCCGGCUUCAGCACGGCGCAUGGGCGCACGCUGCUGCGAGCGGGGCGCGCAACAGCGGCAGCCACAGACGACUUAGCAAUGAUAGCGGCCAUUUUGACUGUUUUGGUCUUUAGAACGUGAUAAGUUCGGACAAAGUAUCAUAGAAAUGCUGGCAAGCAUUAAUGACCAAGAGCGGGUACGGCGGAUAGAGGUACGGAAAAGCUCAUCCUCGUAACGCUCCGAAUCGCCGACGGUUUCGCGUACGGCAAGCAAGACACCUAACACAUUAGCGUAUCAUGUCUACUUUAACACUUGUUAUUUUUCAUUUAAUAAUUGGGUAGUCUGCAAUAAAUCAAUCGAUGUGCAUAUCAUCUGUAGUAUACAUCAAUGACCAGAUUUCGAUCGGCCAGGGAAGAAUAUAUGUAGCCCUAUGGAUUUACUAAGCAUGGCAGAGAGGACACGAAAGAUGUCACUUGCGGGCUUCAUAAGUGUGCGAGCGACUUGGUUCAUACCGUGAGCUUCCAUUUGCUGUUUGUGUCGUCAGGCCCAGUACCACAUAGACACCUGGUACGCGUAGAAAGUAACUGAUGCGAACCAAGCUAUCAAGUGUUAUAACCUUGACAGCUAUCCAAAGACAGCUCCAUCUCCACACCGCUGCAUCGACAUACGGUGGGGUUUCUUGGCCAUGGUAGGGGGCUCGCCCUAGCUUCUCGAGGGCUUUCGCUAGCGUUUCUGCAAGGGACACGGUAAUGCGGUGAGGUUGAUUUGAAGGUUACACAUUUUAAAGCUAAAGUGUCGGCACAAUUGUGGAGGGGUCCGUCAAGCCGGCGCUCCGGAUGGACCGUUGGUAAGAGUUUUUGUUGGGUGACAUCAUCGUCCUCCCGCGCCCGUUGAAGUGCGUGCCCCAGUAUACCAGGUCUCGGAAGUUAGCUACUGCCAAGGGGGGGGGACAGUGCGCAUGUUCAUGCCCAUACUAAGCCGUCAAGCUAUCACAAGCAUUACUAAAACAUCCACAGCCACAAAUCCCGCAGAUUCUUACAAUUCGCUCAUGAUCAUGGGGCUUACAGUCCCCUAAUCAUCUAUAGCCAUAUCUGAUCACUGAACGAUACAUUGUCUGCCCAGAUCUAGAACUAAAAGUUAUUAUUUUGGACAUGCCAAUAACCUCAACAAAACCUUAAAACCUUAAGGAAGAGCCCUUCAACUCUUAGUAUCUUUCCGCAGCUGUAGCGCUGGUGGCAUUAACGGUUUGCACGUCACUACAUGCGCACAUAAACAUAAAACGUGCUUUCUUCCUCAGAGGUGACUUAAGGACUUCCGCCAUGCCAUGCCAUAAGCCAGUAUCCACACCAUGUACUAGUACGUCACGACGAUGCACCUAGAGUUUACUUUCCUGUGCUAUACAGCAUACCUAUUAAUGCUUAUUUCACAAAUGGUCAUAUACCUAUGCAGCCCCGUUCGUGAUGCAUGGCUGAGGCUGCCAUAGCUACCUCUUUUUCAUGUCAGAUUACAUACUGACGGCUGACUUGCUCAGAACUUUAGCUUUACUGAUUAGGGGAAAGUAGGGGGAGGNNNNNNNNNNNNNNNNNNNNNNNNNNNNNNNNNNNNNNNNNNNNNNNNNNNNNNNNNNNNNNNNNNNNNNNNNNNNNNNNNNNNNNNNNNNNNNNNNNNNNNNNNNNNNNNNNNNNNCCUGAGUGAUGGGUCGCGCUCAAGUGCUGACGCUUCCGGAGCCACAUCGCUGCAGGGAACAAUUUUGUCCACGAUUUUGGCCGUGUAAUAUGCUUUGGAGAUACUUCCCCCUACUUUCCCCUAAUCAGUAAAGCUAAAGUUCUGAGCAAGUCAGCCGUCAGUAUGUAAUCUGACAUGAAAAAGAGGUAGCUAUGGCAGGAGGGUAGGAUUCGGGCUGGAAUUAGGGAAGAGCUCUGUCGCAGAAUUAGCCUGGAUUUUAUUCCUGACAAAAGAAUUGGUCUGCCGAGGUCUGGAAUUGUUCUGGCGGACCCGCCGGAGGUAUUCGAAUUGCGCUGUGGAGCCUCGGAAUUGGGCUGUGCUGCGCCUGAAUUGGCCUGUCCGGGUGUCGAAUUGGCCUGUCCGGGUGCCGAAUUGGCCUAACAGGGUAUUGAAUUAGCCUGACAGGGUAUCGAAUUGACCUGUUCGGGGUGUCAAAUUGGCCUGACAGGGUAUCGAAUUAGCCUGACAGGGUGUCGAAUUGGCUGUCAAGUUGGCAGGAUUGGCUCGGGCUGGCAUCCAAAAGCACAUGACUUUUAAGGAAUUUACAGAAAAACUUUGCAAGAGGACCGCUUACAAGUGCCUCAUGUGUGUAUUAGAUUCGAUCCCACGACAUGGGUGGAUGCUGUGCGUCGUCAAUUCGAAGAAGUUCUAGGCGUCUACUCCGUUGGUGAAGCAUGGGAACUGUUCCGAGGUGAGAGAUUUAGAUUGUUGAUCAGAGAGAAAAGCGCGAGUCCGUGCUAGAGACGUGGGGCGGCGAUGUCCCCGUGCCGUGCCGAGAACAACCGGAAACUUUGCGAACGGUGUUUUGAAAGACAAUGUGCCCUUCAUUGCAGAGGAUUUCCAGCUCUCCCCGCUUCGCGCCGCCAUGGCACUGAGAGGGAAUGUACCGGGCCUUACCGUCUCGGACGCGAAAUCCCUCUUGUUCAAGAUCAAAACGGCAUCGGAGGGGGCCGUGGAGGAUCAGGGACACAGGGACGCGGAGACUGGCACCGUCGAGGACGCGGCGGAACUGUGGUCCCGAUGAGUGCACCAGCCGGCAUCACCGAAGCAGAGGAUGUGCCACCCCGCGUCAAGUCGCGUGGUGCUACUGGUAAGUGGCGACGUGAGAUGUGUGGUAGGGAAGAGUGGGCAACCUAGAAAGGAGGAACCCACCUCACCCCACCCACCCAAUUGCAUAAUGUUAUACAUACCGACGUCUAUGAAACAUCAUACCAUAUGACAACAGAUAUGCCCCCCUUUUUUUACAACCCUGUAUAGGNNNNNNNNNNNNNNNNNNNNNNNNNNNNNNNNNNNNNNNNNNNNNNNNNNNNNNNNNNNNNNNNNNNNNNNNNNNNNNNNNNNNNNNNNNNNNNNNNNNNNNNNNNNNNNNNNNNNNNNNNNNNNNNNNNNNNNNNNNNNNNNNNNNNNNNNNNNNNNNNNNNNNNNNNNNNNNNNNNNNNNNNNNNNNNNNNNNNNNNNNNNNNNNNNNNNNNNNNNNNNNNNNNNNNNNNNNNNNNNNNNNNNNNNNNNNNNNNNNNNNNNNNNNNNNNNNNNNNNNNNNNNNNNNNNNNNNNNNNNNNNNNNNNNNNNNNNNNNNNNNNNNNNNNNNNNNNNNNNNNNNNNNNNNNNNNNNNNNNNNNNNNNNNNNNNNNNNNNNNNNNNNNNNNNNNNNNNNNNNNNNNNNNNNNNNNNNNNNNNNNNNNNNNNNNNNNNNNNNNNNNNNNNNNNNNNNNNNNNNNNNNNNNNNNNNNNNNNNNNNNNNNNNNNNNNNNNNNNNNNNNNNNNNNNNNNNNNNNNNNNNNNNNNNNNNNNNNNNCUUCACCCACUCCUGCACCUGGAGCGCGCACCGUUGGUCCCAACAUGGAUCCGGAGGCACAGCGCAUCGUCAGCCCCGACGUGGCGACAUGGAUAUUAGCGAUAGCGAGUCUGGUGAGGGAGUCCAUAUGGUUCGAAGCGGAGGGGGUGGGAAUGUGCGCCUGUUUCUCUCCAGUGAGAGUCCGGAGUGGUUCACCCCACUGAGUAUCAUAGAGCUGGUGCGCGAGGUGUUCACUCCUGGCAGGAUCGACCUGGACCCAUGCUCGUCCGCGGCUGCUAACACACGUGUUGGGGCGACAGUGUAUUACGAUAUGGAAUCCGAUGGUCUGUUGGAGUGCAACGCGUGGAUGGGCAAUGUGUUUGUCAACCCGCCUUUUGGGGUGCAGGGUGGUGCAAGCUAUCAGAGCCUGUUUUUCCAGAGAUGCGCAACAGAGUACACGGCUGGUCACAUUCACCAAGCAGUACUGCUACUGAAAGCCGCUGUGGGUUAUGCGUGGUUUGAUGCCAUACUACAAUGGCCUGUCUGUUUUCUGCGCCAACGUUUGGCGUUUGUGCGUGGGCAAUCCGGGAGUCAACAGCAGGAGGGAGGACCCCUGACAUGGGGAGCGGGGGUAGCCAAUCCACACGGAAGUGUCGUGGUUUACAUGGGCCCAGACGUGCAACGUUUUGUGUCAGUGUUUGGUUGUAUGGGCGGAAUACCGGGGGCGACUUCAUGGGCCAUGCCCCGCCCAACGGAGAGCUCGAUGGAUUAAGGCAUAGAUUGCAUAUGGCGAACAUAUUCUUCUCGGCAGACAUCUGCAUUUUCAUUUGUUUUCAAUGUAGCUCGUGGUACUGAGUUUAGCGGUUUAUCAGAGAUUUGUCAUUGUUUCCACCCGAACCUAUUCAUGCAAACGAGUGUUGUGGGAUAAACUGGACGGACUGUCGAUAAAGUGUGGUGGGAAAACAGUGGGACCUCGGCAGCUGACUUGACUGGGUAAUGCAGUCGUGGCCCUGAGUGCUUGCCUCCGGUAGUAGUAGUAGUGCCAGAGUACGGUAACCAGGUGUGCAAGUUUUUCCACUCCAUGUCGUGGGAUCGAAUCUAAUACANNNNNNNNNNNNNNNNNNNNNNNNNNNNNNNNNNNNNNNNNNNNNNNNNNGGUUCAUCGGUGCUAAGACUGGCAACAUCGAGAAUAUUAUCAACCACGUCAAAACACGCCAGCACAUGAUGGCGUGCAAGCAAGAGACACAGCGGCUCACCCAGCAGGGUGGCCUUGUCGCGCGGCCCAUGCCACCACCUGGAGUGCGAGACGUCAGCUGUGCCUGGCCACCUGACAUGCGCAUGCAUCUAUAUGGCAUGUCGGACGAGGCGGCAGAGGAGGAGUAUCAGCGCCUCUACAGCCAGUUUCAGCACAGGCGCACACGUCGGCGAGAGCAGCAGCCCAAUGCCGUAGACAGUGGGCGCCGCAUCUUACCGUGCACUUCACCCACUCCUGCACCUGGAGCGCGCACCGUUGGUCCCAACAUGGAUCCGGAGGCACAGCGCAUCGUCAGCCCCGACGUGGCGACAUGGAUAUUAGCGAUAGCGAGUCUGGUGAGGGAGUCCAUAUGGUUCGAAGCGGAGGGGGUGGGAAUGUGCGCCUGUUUCUCUCCAGUGAGAGUCCGGAGUGGUUCACCCCACUGAGUAUCAUAGAGCUGGUGCGCGAGGUGUUCACUCCUGGCAGGAUCGACCUGGACCCAUGCUCGUCCGCGGCUGCUAACACACGUGUUGGGGCGACAGUGUAUUACGAUAUGGAAUCCGAUGGUCUGUUGGAGUGCAACGCGUGGAUGGGCAAUGUGUUUGUCAACCCGCCUUUUGGGGUGCAGGGUGGUGCAAGCUAUCAGAGCCUGUUUUUCCAGAGAUGCGCAACAGAGUACACGGCUGGUCACAUUCACCAAGCAGUACUGCUACUGAAAGCCGCUGUGGGUUAUGCGUGGUUUGAUGCCAUACUACAAUGGCCUGUCUGUUUUCUGCGCCAACGUUUGGCGUUUGUGCGUGGGCAAUCCGGGAGUCAACAGCAGGAGGGAGGACCCCUGACAUGGGGAGCGGGGGUAGCCAAUCCACACGGAAGUGUCGUGGUUUACAUGGGCCCAGACGUGCAACGUUUUGUGUCAGUGUUUGGUUGUAUGGGCGGAAUACCGGGGGCGACUUCAUGGGCCAUGCCCCGCCCAACGGAGAGCUCGAUGGAUUAAGGCAUAGAUUGCAUAUGGCGAACAUAUUCUUCUCGGCAGACAUCUGCAUUUUCAUUUGUUUUCAAUGUAGCUCGUGGUACUGAGUUUAGCGGUUUAUCAGAGAUUUGUCAUUGUUUCCACCCGAACCUAUUCAUGCAAACGAGUGUUGUGGGAUAAACUGGACGGACUGUCGAUAAAGUGUGGUGGGAAAACAGUGGGACCUCGGCAGCUGACUUGACUGGGUAAUGCAGUCGUGGCCCUGAGUGCUUGCCUCCGGUAGUAGUAGUAGUGCCAGAGUACGGUAACCAGGUGUGCAAGUUUUUCCACUCCAUGUCGUGGGAUCGAAUCUAAUACACACAUGAGGCACUUGUAAGCGGUCCUCUUGCAAAGUUUUUCUGUAAAUUCCUUAAAAGUCAUGUGCUUUUGGAUGCCAGCCCGAGCCAAUCCUGCCAACUUGACAGCCAAUUCGACACCCUGUCAGGCUAAUUCGAUACCCUGUCAGGCCAAUUUGACACCCCGAACAGGUCAAUUCGAUACCCUGUCAGGCUAAUUCAAUACCCUGUUAGGCCAAUUCGGCACCCGGACAGGCCAAUUCGACACCCGGACAGGCCAAUUCAGGCGCAGCACAGCCCAAUUCCGAGGCUCCACAGCGCAAUUCGAAUACCUCCGGCGGGUCCGCCAGAACAAUUCCAGACCUCGGCAGACCAAUUCUUUUGUCAGGAAUAAAAUCCAGGCUAAUUCUGCGACAGAGCUCUUCCCUAAUUCCAGCCCGAAUCCUACCCUCCUGCCAUAGCUACCUCNNNNNNNNNNNNNNNNNNNNNNNNNNNNNNNNNNNNNNNNNNNNNNNNNNGCUGCUUAGACGGAGCGCUCAAGUGCUGACGCUUCCGGAGCCACAUCGCUGCAGGGAACAAUUUUGUCCACGAUUUUGGCCGUGUAAUAUGCUUUGGAGAUACUUCCCCCUACUUUCCCCUAAUCAGUAAAGCUAAAGUUCUGAGCAAGUCAGCCGUCAGUAUGUAAUCUGACAUGAAAAAGAGGUAGCUAUGGCAGCCUCAGCCAUGCAUCACGAACGGGGCUGCAUAGGUAUAUGACCAUUUGUGAAAUAAGCAUUAAUAGGUAUGCUGUAUAGCACAGGAAAGUAAACUCUAGGUGCAUCGUCGUGACGUACUAGUACAUGGUGUGGAUACUGGCUUAUGGCAUGGCAUGGCGGAAGUCCUUAAGUCACCUCUGAGGAAGAAAGCACGUUUUAUGUUUAUGUGCGCAUGUAGUGACGUGCAAACCGUUAAUGCCACCAGCGCUACAGCUGCGGAAAGAUACUAAGAGUUGAAGGGCUCUUCCUUAAGGUUUUAAGGUUUUGUUGAGGUUAUUGGCAUGUCCAAAAUAAUAACUUUUAGUUCUAGAUCUGGGCAGACAAUGUAUCGUUCAGUGAUCAGAUAUGGCUAUAGAUGAUUAGGGGACUGUAAGCCCCAUGAUCAUGAGCGAAUUGUAAGAAUCUGCGGGAUUUGUGGCUGUGGAUGUUUUAGUAAUGCUUGUGAUAGCUUGACGGCUUAGUUUGCAGCACCCUUAUGGCCGCGGAGCCACAUGACCACGGUGACGACCCCCACCCUAGUUCCACGGAGCAACAGCGACGCCACCGGACAACCCCUGUUCCUCCGACCGAUCCAAAGCUUUCACCCUUUCUCUUUCCCGGCAAAAGCCCCUAGAAGUACCGCACUAUCGCAGCAGUUGCUGCUGCAGGACCCCUGCCGCCGAUGCCAGCAGCAACAGCACCCCUGUGGCCACGAUCGGGUUGUCCAGACUGAGGAAGCGAGGGGUGGGUGUUGAGCCCGAGGGCCGAAGCAAGUUAGUGACGGGCUCGUCCGUCUCGUACGACUCUUCGCCGUACGAUGAGUCCGCUACCGUACUUCUGUUGCUGCUGCUGCUCCCGUCCUUUGCCGUGGCGGUGGCCGCUGGUAUAUCGCUGUUCAGUUGUUGUUGCUGCUGCUGCGGCUGCUGGCGGCGGCGGCGGUCUUCUCGUUUCCGAAGCCAUUCUGCGUAGAACCAGCGCUCCAGCCUGUGAGAGGGAGAGAGCGGAUACAGAUCAGGUUGAGAGGGGUAAAGCGGGUUACACGGCGAGAUAUGAAAGCACGUCAGGAGUUGGACGGACCCGGGACGCACCUAGAGCGCCUAGGGUAAGGCAAGUCGGAGUCGUGCAGGAUGGGUUGCAUUACCUGCGACCCGGGUAGUUCAGCCGAUAAGUCAUGCAACCCCCCCCAACACGUGCAUACUCACAUAUGUACUGACAUAUGGUUCACACUCAUCAUCGCCGGCUGCAUACGUACCGGAUUGACGGUCGUCAAUGAUAUCGGGGAGCUUCACAGCCGUCACCUUCGUCAUCCCCAUCCCCACCCCCAUCUCUAUUGCAACCAUCAUGCGUUUAACCAUGCCUGCUUUCUCUCCGGCUCGUGGACAAGCCUCUGUUAAUAAAGACCCGCCAUUGCAUUCUCAUGUCCCGGCCCCGGCACCGGGCCCCUACAAGUGAGGGGGGAACGGCCUAGAAAGAAAGUGCCUCCCUGCCUACCGUACCCCUUAACUCCCUACUACCUUUCGGCAUUGCUCCGCCAACACUGCGUCUCCAACAGAAAAAAAUCCAUACAGCACCGGCACGGAGAGAACCACGGUCACUUGACUCAUUUGCAAAUGAUACCGUACUUCAACAUUUAAGGCCAACACCACCAUUCAGAGUUAGGUUCUCACCAUCGCUCCUGUGUAGCUUCCGGCCCCUCCAGCUCCUGGAGGUAGGUGUUAAGCGGCCCUAGCCGCUUACUGCGACCUAACGCAGCGCGCUCUGAAGGCACAACCACAAGCCACCAGUACCCCGCGGCUACGGCUGUCAGCGCGAGUACAAAGCCUUGAGCAGCCAGGACGCUUGUGUCUGGCAGUUGGGGAUCAAAUGUCGUCCCCGGGGCCAAAGAGGUUGCUGAGGCAAGGGCGUCUGAUGCGCUAUGGGUUUGCAGGUUCACCAUGUCGCCGCAAGUGGCGUCCUGGCAUGGCGAAUAGCCGUUAACCGCGAAGGGACCGCGAAGGGAAGCAGGACGCAUGAUCCGCAUAUAUAAACUUCGUUUCAGUGGGAAUUCUGUUUGGCGAUGGUGUGUCCACGUCGGAGAGUUCGGCAAAUGCGAUAUACAUCGCUGAUGCGAUCGUCUCCAGCUUUGCCUGCACAUCAUGACUCUAACAACGAUGAUACAGACAGCGAAGCUAUGUGGACGGUUUGAUUUACAAUAACUUGUUCUGUUAGAUUUUCCAGUUUGUAAAAAUUGGCAAAGCAGAUUCACUUGCGGAAACAAUUGGAUUGAAUUAACUAGACACACUAGGUUCAAUACAUUACACUUAUAUGUUAACAGCUGGUUGAUAUGAUCAUGUGGGUGAAAGAGGGCAACAACUACUGUUUAUACCGUACUACUGAUAUCAGAUUCUGGAAUGUUACCAUCUGCACGUCACCUCGGUAGAUUGGUAUACUGCUCUGCAUUCUUCUGACACCGAAUGAUUUCUGGGAUUGGAGAAGAGGCACGCAGACGAGAUAUCACGUGGCUUACACGGAAGUGUUUUCUUCUCUUGGUAGGGUUUAUAUCCCAAAAUGUCCUAGUGAAUAUGAUCCCAGGCUCAAAAUGGAUCAUCCAUUUAUUCAUGAAGCACACGCGUUCGAUGUUCAAUUGGUCAGUGAAAGCUUUUCACAACCAAGAACACAGUUUACCGGAAGCAAAUCUAGAACAUCAGGAAAAAUUGCACCAGAAAAUCACCCCCGAUAACUGAUCAGUCCAGAACGCAACGCCUCUAACCACACAUAGCACGAGCCCUGCUACGCGCAGGUGCUUAGACGGAGCGCUUGUUGGCCGGCUGCCAGUCGCGGGCGCUCUUGGGGCGCUGCACCAGGAAGCCCAUGAUCUGCACCUGCUUCACGUUGUCGAAGGCCACCAGGCGCACGUAGGCGUCCGGGAAGGCCUUGGUGCAGGCAACAAUCUCGCGCAGCACCUGCAUCGGGUCGCGGCAGCCGAACAUGGGCAGCUUCCACAUCGUCCAGUAGCGGUUGUCGUAGUACAGCUGCGGGGGAGGGAGAGACGGAGUUCAGGGAGACAAAUUUGAGUUAAUGACCGUAUGUCCGAUUCAAAAACUACCAAAACCCGAAGUUUACUUCAUAUCCUUCG
Molecule: long non-coding RNA, 26173 nt
Filed under: Volvox carteri
Lineage: Eukaryota; Viridiplantae; Chlorophyta; Chlorophyceae; Chlamydomonadales; Volvocaceae
Description: long non-coding RNA (VCAR_LNC002563)
Source: RNAcentral